CCUACGGGAGGCAGCAGUGGGGAAUUUUGGACAAUGGGGGAAACCCUGAUCCAGCCAUGCCGCGUGAGUGAAGAAGGCCUUCGGGUUGUAAAGCUCUUUCAGCCGGAACGAAACGGUCACGGCUAAUACCUGUGACUACUGACGGUACCGGAAGAAGAAGCACCGGCUAACUACGUGCCAGCAGCCGCGGUAAU
This 194-nucleotide ribosomal RNA is filed under the name uncultured soil bacterium. Its description in RNAcentral is "partial 16S ribosomal RNA". It matches the Rfam family "Bacterial small subunit ribosomal RNA", at positions 338 to 524 of the family's 1533-position model. The record is from RNAcentral.